CGCUGCCCUUAAAUCCCCUUUCCUCUUCAAUUACCUCUGAAACCUAAAGCUAAACCUAGCCACCGCCACCCAAACUAACCCUAAUCCCCUUCGAUUCUCACUCAAUCUAUGGACUCUCAUGGUUGUUUGAGACGUAUACCGGUCUCCUAUGUCUCCUGGUUGCCUAUUUUCAUGAUUUCAUGGAAAGAUCUCAAAGAGAUCUAGUCCAGACCUCACUCAACUUCUAUCCAUGAUCUUUUUCCAGCCAUCAUAGCCGUUUGAGUCAGAUCCAUGGCUUUUCCGGCUAAAACUGGUAACGAUCUAAUGUUCUCUCAUCCUUCGUUGGGUUCUCUGAAGCCCUAGCUCUUGAGAUCUUUACUUUUCUUUAAGAUCUGUCUUCGGUCUAGAUUUAUCCAUGGGUUUUAACGGACUUUUUUCUUCGUCUCUACUAUUUUCCGAAAAAUACCUAGUUAUAAACCUUCCGAUCUUUUUAGAUCUGUGAUGGAUCUAUGGGUUUCUCAAGGUUUUCACUUGUUUUCCUCAAAUGUUUCUCCGAUUUCAAACAGUUUCUUUAUUUUCAAACUAGGGUUUCAAAACCCUUUUUGCAAAAAACGAUUUCUUUCUGAUUAUUGUAAUUUUUAGAAUGUCUAAACAUUAUCUGAGUCUUUCCUUUUGGCUCGAUUCAUUUUUAUCAAGAAACCCUAAUACUUCUAGGGUUUAUGUGUAUUCUAUAUGUCUUAUGCUUCUCGUUUUGAUUUGUUCUUAAGGUUUAUUUGAUUUUGUCCGAAACCGUGUUAUUUAUAGGUCCGACUAUUUUUUUACUGCGUGCUCGCACAAUUUAUGGUGAUUCCGUAUGAUCUCCUUAUACCUACACCUUUGAUUCUGUGUAUUUUCCUUGUAACUCUAUACUGAUUUUAGAAAUUGCUUCCUUACCCUUGUGAUACUUUCCUUAGUUAGUACUAAUUCCCUGUGAUUUUGAAUCUCAUCCGUGAUUCUUUGAAUUAAUUUUCAGAAUCAAAUUGUACUCUACCCUGUUUAUAUGCACAAUAUGAUGUUAUUAUACUUUCCUUACUUGAAAAUAUUCUAUUCUUAGUCCUAUUACAUGCAGCAUGCUUUUACUAUUCCUGUUAUAGUAAAAUCAGUCUUACAAACAAUUAUUUUCCUUAUUUGAUACAACUUAUUCCUGUUUGAACUAUGACUCCUUAGUUGAAGGGAGUUCGGGUCUUUAAUUGAUUCUAAUUUGCAUUAUUUCUAUAAUUAUGAUAAAUCAGUACUUGUUACCUUAUUUUCCUGCCUAUUUAUAAAACUAUAAAUACUAUACCCUCUCUUCUUUAAAGACACGAACAACUAGAUCAGAACACACACAUACACAUUCAAACUCUCUUUUGUUUCUCUACUACUUGUUCUAUUGCUUUGUCUAGCUGACUAAAAGCCAAUGCUAUACUGUGGAACUGUGAUUGCUUUACUUUUUAUGCACUUUUCUCCAUCAACUGGUAUGUUCUUAGUUUAAAUUUUGAAACUCAACUCUAUGUGUUCCCUUAUUUGUCAAUCCUUGUUUCUUUCGGCACCAACGUAAUGGCUCAUGCUGUUAAAUUGUACUUUUUGUUUACUGCUUUACUCAGCAUGCUUAAAAUUCUGCCCUUCUUUGUUCAAAUGUGAUCAACAUGUUUACUUGUUCCUGUUUAUGUCCCUCAACUAGCAUGUCUCCUAAUGUACUUAAUUCAUAACUAAUUAUGUGUUUCUGAUUUGCGUCCUCUAUGUCCCUAGCCCCUACUCCCCUGUUUGUAACUGCUGAAGUUGUACUACUCUCUGAACUUGUUUUGUGUGCGUUGUUGUUGCUCCCAUCCCCCUUCCCUUUCAAAAACUAUUUUCACUAAUGCAACUCUUCUGCUAUUUUACAAACUCAUAUCAAACGCUGAUUUCAAAACUGUUUUCCAACUCAACUCCUUUGAGUCUAUGUCAAGCACUCUCACAUGCACUCUUAGACUACUAGGUUCUGCCCCUCUUGUGUGAGCCUUGCCUUGGGACCCUAGAGCUCCUUCUAAACUUGGACACAUAAGAGCUGGCCCUUCCAAACUGCACUCACUCUGUUUGGUUAUGCAAUCUAGGUGUGAGCACUGCCCGAGAUCCCUUGAGGUCCUUAGGGAACUCUAACACACCUAGAUAUGAGAAAGACUAUGGAACAAUAUUGGAAUUUGAGGUGGUUUAUUACAUAACUCAUAGAGGAAGUCAAAAUAAGGAUUUCUAUAGUUGUAACUUCUUAUUUUUCAUUUCUUAUGCAAUUCUAUCACAUGGUCUGUAAUAAUUUGUAAACAAGUAUCGGGAUGCCUAGUGAAAAGGGAUAGGGUAAAUAUGCAUGCCAUAACUUGUUAAGGGUAGAAAACAUGUUAUUAGGUUUAUAUUCCUAAUUGUGCAAUAGAAAGCAUGCUUAGGAUUCAUACGAUGCAUUAGAAAUCAUGUUCUUAGGACUUAUGUUUCUUGCUUCAGCACCUCACUCAUUGAUCCAUGCUUUAUGUCUAUGCAUUUAGAAAUCUUGCUCUUAGGGAAAUUGUACAAUCCUGCCAUGUGCAUUUAGAAAUCCUGCUCUUAGGAAAUUCUACAAACCUGCCAUAUGCAUUUAGAAAUCCUGCUCUUAGGAAAUUCUGCAAUCCUGCCAUAUGCAUUUAGAAAUCCUGCUCUUAGGAAUUCUACAUCAUGAGUUUUAUACAUGCACCUUAGACACCAUGUUCUAGGAUCUUAUUUGCACAUGCAUUCACACUUAGUGUAAAUUGUUGAUUAUAAAAGAGGUAAAAAAUAGCUUUACACUUGAUUAUCCCGUUUAAAAUAACUGGUAACAAUCUCUGCGCUUGAUUAGAAUAGCAUGCUCUUAGGGUAAAAUAAGCUCCAAACCGUCUUUUAAUAAUUCUGAAUAACUGCUGCAUCUCGUUUUGCGCCUAGGCAAGCCUUAGGUAAUGACUUAAGUAAAACAAGAAUUGCCUUUGUUUAAUUAUCAACUGUUAAAAUCAGUAGGCAAACCUGAUUCAGACUUCUUUUCUGAGUCACGUAAUAAAUUUGGUUAUGACGUUACAAAUUAACCACCCUGCUUUAUGAUUUUAAAUUUAGACCUUAAUUGUGUAUGAGUCAUGUUGUCUACGUGCAUUAUUUGUGGAGGCAUAUCUGAGCCUUCUGCUUGUUUUCUGUGUUUUCCCUCCUUUAAAUGCAGUCCUACUUGUUUUGUAUGUCGCCUUAGUAUUUUGCCUUUGAACCUGAGGGUCUGCCUAGAACCUCCUUAUAGGAUAGGAGUCCUAAAUUCCUCCGGGAUUGAUAGGAAGGGAUGGGUAACAGCAUGCAAUAAGAGUCGAGACCAACCUUCGCUUAAUUACCUUUACGGGGCGGGAAAGGGUAGAUAUGGAUAUAAUGACUGGUGCGCUAAUAACAUGUGUAUCCUCUCUUUUGAGGAGUGUCAUACCGGGUAUUGCAUUGAUGUGAUACAUAUUACAAACAAACCUAGGACAUCCCUUUACAUUCAUAAGCAUGCUUAGAUUGUAACUCUUUUCAAAACCUUGCUUUUAUUAAUCGCUUUCAAACACUUGUGUAUUUAAAUUCCCUUUUAUUUGAGCCCUACUUGUCUGUUUGCUAAUGUUAUAAAUUCACAAAAACUGUCUGGUAGGGAACCACACUAGUGGAUCCUGAGGGGUGCCUAACACUUUCCCCUUAAGAUAAUUUUAAGUCCUUACCCUAUCUCUGGUUAUCAAACGUAUUUUAGAUGAACCUUGUAGGUGCCCUAACACACCUUAAAAUUGUUAGGUGGCGACUCUUCAAAAAUGAAAACCUCGUUCCCAAAAGGAAUGAGUUGUCCCAUACCCAAUAUGUCAUGAACCCUGUUUCCACGGAAGGGGAAAAAAGGGGCGCGGCAGGGACUACAGGACGGUAUCCUGAGAGAUCCCCAGUUGUUAUCUCUAUAUUGAGCUGUAUUCCUUCUGUGAUUAUUUCGUUUAUGUUAUAGUUGUUGCUACUCUUAUUACCACAUGUUACUUUAAUACUGUUUCUUUUCCUUGUACAUUAUUGUAUAUGACCGGUAGGGCCCUGACCUUCCUUGUCACUACUCAACUGAUGUUAGGCUUGGCACAUACUGGGUACCGCUGUGGUGUACUCAUGCCCUUUCAUGCACAUAUUUUCCCCGUGUGCAGAUCCAAGUUCUUCGACUCAGCCCUACUAUCCUUGAGGCGAGGCGAUUUUUCUGAGUCUUCGAGGUAUAUAUGCCACGUCCGCAGACCGAGGAGUCCCUCUCCAUUCUCUCUUGUAGUUAUAAACCUUCUGUAUUUUCUUUUAUUUAGAAAUUCUGCAGUUAGACACUUGUAGUUAUUCAACAGUUUGUCAUUUCGUGAGAUUCCGGGUUUUGGGAAGUGUUCGGUUUGAGAGUUAUAUUUGUAUAUGCCGAGCAGUAUUUUAGACCUUCAUUAUGUUUAUUAUGCAG
RNAcentral lists this long non-coding RNA (4435 nucleotides) under Nicotiana tabacum (common tobacco). Its description in RNAcentral is "long non-coding RNA (NTAB_LNC005135)". Lineage: Eukaryota; Viridiplantae; Streptophyta; Magnoliopsida; Solanales; Solanaceae. The record is from RNAcentral.